Molecule: microRNA precursor, 101 nt
Filed under: Pelobates cultripes (western spadefoot toad)
Lineage: Eukaryota; Metazoa; Chordata; Amphibia; Anura; Pelobatidae
Source: RNAcentral
ACCCUUCCUCCCAGACCCUCCCACCUCCUGGACAGCUCACUAAGAAUGCAGCUUCAAAAUGGAUGCUGUCCAGGAGGUGGGAGGGUCUGGGAGGGAGGGUC